RNAcentral lists this ribosomal RNA (842 nucleotides) under Amanita parvipantherina. RNAcentral describes it as "eukaryotic LSU rRNA". It matches the Rfam family "Eukaryotic large subunit ribosomal RNA", at positions 94 to 912 of the family's 3401-position model. Lineage: Eukaryota; Fungi; Basidiomycota; Agaricomycetes; Agaricales; Amanitaceae. The record is from RNAcentral.
UGAAGAGGGAAGAGCUCAAAUUUAAAAUCUGGCAGUGUUUUGCUGUCCGAGUUGUAAUCUAGAGAAGUGCUGCCCGUGCUGGACCAUGUACAAGUCUCCUGGAAUGGAGCGUCACAGAGGGUGAGAAUCCCGUCUUUGACAUGGACUGCCAGUGCAUUUGUGGUGUGCUCUCAAAGAGUCGAGUUGUUUGGGAAUGCAGCUCUAAAUGGGUGGUAAACUCCAUCUAAAGCUAAAUAUUGGCGAGAGACCGAUAGCGAACAAGUACCGUGAGGGAAAGAUGAAAAGAACUUUGGAAAGAGAGUUAAACAGUAUGUGAAAUUGUUGAAAGGGAAACGCUUAAAGUCAGUCGUGUCGGCCAGGGAUCAACUCAGUAAUUUUUGCUGGGUGUACUUCCUGAUCUGAUGGGCCAACAUCAGUUUUGACUGCUGGAGAAGGAUAGAGGGAAUGUGGCACCUUCGGGUGUGUUAUAGCUYUCUGUCGGAUGCAGUGGUUGGGACUGAGGAAAGCAGCAUGCCGCAAGGCCAGGUCAGUUUUGACCAUGUUCAUGCUGAGGAUGUUGGCAUAAUGGCUUUAAUCGACCCGUCUUGAAACACGGACCAAGGAGUCUAACAUGCCUGCGAGUGUUUGGGUGGCAAACCCGAGUGCGGAAUGAAAGUGAAAGGUUGAGAUCCCUGUCAUGGGGAGCAUCGACRCCCGGACCUGAGCUUUUAGCAAAGGAUCUGCGGUAGAGCAUGUAUGUUAGGACCCGAAAGAUGGUGAACUAUGCCUGAAUAGGGUGAAGCCAGAGGAAACUCUGGUGGAGGCUCGUAGCGAUUCUGACGUGCAAAUCGAUCGUCGAAUUU